RNAcentral lists this ribosomal RNA (1369 nucleotides) under uncultured bacterium. Its description in RNAcentral is "bacterial SSU rRNA". It matches the Rfam family "Bacterial small subunit ribosomal RNA", at positions 28 to 1381 of the family's 1533-position model. The record is from RNAcentral.
GACGAACGCUGGCGGCGUGCCUAAUACAUGCAAGUAGAACGCUGAAGAGAGGAGCUUGCUCUUCUUGGAUGAGUUGCGAACGGGUGAGUAACGCGUAGGUAACCUGCCUGGUAGCGGGGGAUAACUAUUGGAAACGAUAGCUAAUACCGCAUAAAAUUGAUUAUUGCAUGAUAAUUAAUUGAAAGAUGCAAUUGCAUCACUACCAGAUGGACCUGCGUUGUAUUAGCUAGUUGGUGAGGUAACGGCUCACCAAGGCGACGAUACAUAGCCGACCUGAGAGGGUGAUCGGCCACACUGGGACUGAGACACGGCCCAGACUCCUACGGGAGGCAGCAGUAGGGAAUCUUCGGCAAUGGGGGGAACCCUGACCGAGCAACGCCGCGUGAGUGAAGAAGGUUUUCGGAUCGUAAAGCUCUGUUGUAAGAGAAGAACGGGUGUGAGAGUGGAAAGUUCACACUGUGACGGUAUCUUACCAGAAAGGGACGGCUAACUACGUGCCAGCAGCCGCGGUAAUACGUAGGUCCCGAGCGUUGUCCGGAUUUAUUGGGCGUAAAGCGAGCGCAGGCGGUUAGAUAAGUCUGAAGUUAAAGGCUGUGGCUUAACCAUAGUAUGCUUUGGAAACUGUUUAACUUGAGUGCAGAAGGGGAGAGUGGAAUUCCAUGUGUAGCGGUGAAAUGCGUAGAUAUAUGGAGGAACACCGGUGGCGAAAGCGGCUCUCUGGUCUGUAACUGACGCUGAGGCUCGAAAGCGUGGGGAGCAAGCAGGAUUAGAUACCCUGGUAGUCCACGCCGUAAACGAUGAGUGCUAGGUGUUAGGCCCUUUCCGGGGCUUAGUGUCGCAGCUAACGCAUUAAGCACUCCGCCUGGGGAGUACGACCGCAAGGUUGAAACUCAAAGGAAUUGACGGGGGCCCGCACAAGCGGUGGAGCAUGUGGUUUAAUUCGAAGCAACGCGAAGAACCUUACCAGGUCUUGACAUCCCUCUGACCGCUCUAGAGAUAGAGUUUUCCUUCGGGACAGAGGUGACAGGUGGUGCAUGGUUGUCGUCAGCUCGUGUCGUGAGAUGUUGGGUUAAGUCCCGCAACGAGCGCAACCCCUAUUGUUAGUUGCCAUCAUUGAGUUGGGCACUCUAGCGAGACUGCCGGUAAUAAACCGGAGGAAGGUGGGGAUGACGUCAAAUCAUCAUGCCCCUUAUGACCUGGGCUACACACGUGCUACAAUGGCUGGUACAACGAGUCGCAAGCCGGUGACGGCAAGCUAAUCUCUGAAAGCCAGUCUCAGUUCGGAUUGUAGGCUGCAACUCGCCUACAUGAAGUCGGAAUCGCUAGUAAUCGCGGAUCAGCACGCCGCGGUGAAUACGUUCCCGGGCCU